RNAcentral lists this ribosomal RNA (301 nucleotides) under uncultured bacterium. RNAcentral's name for it is "partial 16S ribosomal RNA". It matches the Rfam family "Bacterial small subunit ribosomal RNA", at positions 509 to 807 of the family's 1533-position model. The record is from RNAcentral.
CAGUAGCCACGGUAAUACGUAGGUGGCAAGCGUUGUCCGGAAUUAUUGGGCGUAAAGGGCUCGCAGGCGGCUUCUUAAGUCUGAUGUGAAAGCCCCCGGCUCAACCGGGGAGGGUCAUUGGAAACUGGGAAACUUGAGCGCAGAAGAGGAGAGUGGAAUUCCACGUGUAGCGGUGAAAUGCGUAGAGAUGUGGAGGAACACCAGUGGCGAAGGCGACUCUCUGGUCUGUAACUGGCGCUAAGGAGCGAAAGCGUGGGGAGCGAACAGGAUUAGAUACCCGUGUAGUCCCUGUCUCUUAUAC